Molecule: small nucleolar RNA, 219 nt
Filed under: Ursus maritimus (polar bear)
Lineage: Eukaryota; Metazoa; Chordata; Mammalia; Carnivora; Ursidae
Source: RNAcentral
UUAGACCCAAUAAAAAAGCAAAGAGCCCUUCCAUAAAGUCCCCCAAUAACAAGUCUAUUUUCUUAGUGGGAUGCCUGACACCUGCCCCUCACUGUAAGGCAGGUCAACGGCACUGCCAGGCUUGCCUCCGGUUCCUAGCGGCUGGCUGCAGGGGACCCACAGGGGGGGACCAAAGUGGGUCCCGGCAGGAGCCAUCUGAGUGCAGCCUUGGAUCUGACA